Molecule: ribosomal RNA, 355 nt
Filed under: Bacillus thuringiensis
Lineage: Bacteria; Bacillati; Bacillota; Bacilli; Caryophanales; Bacillaceae
Description: bacterial SSU rRNA
Rfam family: Bacterial small subunit ribosomal RNA
Source: RNAcentral
UUUAUUGGAGAGUUUGAUCCUGGCUCAGGAUGAACGCUGGCGGCGUGCCUAAUACAUGCAAGUCGAGCGAAUGGAUUGAGAGCUUGCUCUCAAGAAGUUAGCGGCGGACGGGUGAGUAACACGUGGGUAACCUGCCCAUAAGACUGGGAUAACUCCGGGAAACCGGGGCUAAUACCGGAUAACAUUUUGAACUGCAUGGUUCGAAAUUGAAAGGCGGCUUCGGCUGUCACUUAUGGAUGGACCCGCGUCGCAUUAGCUAGUUGGUGAGGUAACGGCUCACCAAGGCAACGAUGCGUAGCCGACCUGAGAGGGUGAUCGGCCACACUGGGACUGAGACACGGCCCAGACUCCUACG